RNAcentral lists this non-coding RNA (119 nucleotides) under Emiliania huxleyi. Lineage: Eukaryota; Haptophyta; Isochrysidales; Noelaerhabdaceae. The record is from RNAcentral.
GGGGCGGUGCAGGAGCUGGCGUGGGCGGAGGGGGCGGACAUCCUCGAGGGCAUCAACGUGCGGCUCGGGCCGGAGGGCGUCGGUCGGCCCGACUCUGCACACAAGUCGCUCACGCUGAG